Molecule: long non-coding RNA, 594 nt
Organism: Triticum dicoccoides
Lineage: Eukaryota; Viridiplantae; Streptophyta; Magnoliopsida; Poales; Poaceae
Exons: 2
Source: RefSeq, a predicted model, not a curated record
CAGAGCCCCAGACGACCAGACCUAACCACGCGACGUGAGUUCCAGACCUCCAGGGAGCCGAGGCAGCCGCCGGCGCCCGCCGGUGACUCCCCUGCACUCCCCUGCUCGUCUGCUCCCCUCCCCUGACUCCGGCGCUCCCGUCCAGUCCCCUGCAGGCUGCAGCCCUGCUCGCCUGCUCGGCUGCGCUGCUCGCCUGGCUCGCCUGCUCUGCUUCUCCAGCCGGGCGCGGGGCGCCGCCGCGCCGGCUCUGCUCCGGCCCUGCUCCAUCCUCCAGUCCUGCCGGCCUCUCCUGCCUCCCGGUCUCCCCCGCGCAACUGCUGCCCCGACUGUAGCCGGGAAAUAAAAGAUGAACAUAUUUUAUUCAUCGGUGGCCGCAAUGGAAGUGUCUACACCCGCAAGUGAUCAAGGGGCUGCCUGAGAGGGCUGAAGUACUGCUAAUGAUUUGGUACUCUUUUUUAUCACGUACUGUUUGUAGUUUUUAUCACGUAUAGUAAGACACUGUUUAGUUGUAUCUUUAUAAGCAUUGAGUUUAAAUUCUAAAUUUUUGGUGUAAUUGAGCCAUAUUUGAGGUAGCUAUAGCCUGAUGGACGUUAA